This 330-nucleotide ribosomal RNA is filed under the name Triticum aestivum (bread wheat). RNAcentral describes it as "partial small subunit ribosomal RNA". Lineage: Eukaryota; Viridiplantae; Streptophyta; Magnoliopsida; Poales; Poaceae. The record is from RNAcentral.
AUGAAGAUCCGGAAGAUUGUGUUAAAGUGGGUCUGGCCCAUUUCUGCAAGCUUAACCCGUCACCAGAUGCUAAGUCUGACUUUUGGAAAACGAAGUAUGAUCAUGAGGCUGCUAAGAAGGCUAGGGCCGCCAAAAAAGCUGCCAAGAAAACCACCAAGAAGACCACCAAGAAGAAAGAAACCAAGUGCUUCUGAACUGCUCAAACUAGAUGAUACCUCUGAGUCGGAGGUAGCCCUUGACUCUCUUGGCUCUUUUUUCAAUUAUCUUAUUGACACUGACUAUUAUCAAGCUGACACGGGAGCCAGCCAAGCAGAAGAAGAAGAGCAAUAG